RNAcentral lists this ribosomal RNA (679 nucleotides) under Palythoa sp. 'sakurajimensis' type B. RNAcentral describes it as "partial 16S ribosomal RNA". It matches the Rfam family "Bacterial large subunit ribosomal RNA", at positions 1697 to 2424 of the family's 2925-position model. Lineage: Eukaryota; Metazoa; Cnidaria; Anthozoa; Zoantharia; Sphenopidae. The record is from RNAcentral.
AAAUUUUCUUAAGGAACUCGGCAAAAUCCCAAUGGCCCACCAGGGCAUAUUGGAACACGGGCCUCGACUGUUUACCAAAAACAUAGCCCUCGGCCAAUAUGAAAAUAGAUGUAUAGAGGGUGAUGCCUGCCCAAUGGUUGUAUCUAAAAGCGGUUGAUAAAAGUCGACCUCGUAAGGACAAUUGAAUGGCCGCGGUAACACUGACCGUGAUAAUGUAGCGUAAUCAAUAGCCAAUUAAUUGUUGGCCAGUAUGAAUGGCGCCACGAAGGCCCCACUGUCUUAAGGAAAUUCCCAGUGAAAUUGAAUUCGUAGUGAAGAUGCUACGUCCAAUUUGUUAGACGAAAAGACCCCGUUGAGCUUUACUGGGGCACUUACACGGCCCCGGCCUUCCCGUGUCCGGGAACCGGCCGAAUUUAAAUGGGUGGUUUAGACUAUGUGGCAGCCCCCCGCCGGGGCAGAUGAAACCCCACUCCCCCAUGUCAAAGGGGCUAACCCCCCCCUUGGGGGGGACAGUGUAAGUAGGACAGUUUGGUUGGGGCGACCGCCUUUUAAAGAGUAACGAAGGUGCGCUUAAGGUGCGCAAUUAAUGAGUGAAGCCUGACUGCGAGGGGGACACCCCGAGCAGACACCCCUAAGCCCGCCCGAAGGGCGGCGGUGGGGUGGGCCAUAGUGACCCGUU